GAUGCAUCUACAAGCCAAGGAAUGCCAAGGAUUGCCAGCAACCACCAGAAACUAGGAAGAGGAAAGGAAGGAUAUCCCCUCGCCACUUCGAAGGGAACAUGACUGUUCUGACAUCAUAAUUGCAGACUUCUAGUCCCUUGGAAUCUGAGAAAAAAAUAUUUCUGUUGCUUUAAGCCACCCAGCCCAUUAUACUUUGUUAGGGCAGCCCUAGGAACCCAAUACAGGGGACCUCUUGUCUUACAUCAGGUGAUCACAUUUCAGGUUUCCUCUUCAUGCCAGUUGGCAGAUAAUACCAGUCAACCUCCAGGAAGGCUUUCCUCAAAAUGUCCUGCCACUUCAUUGGGAAGAGAGUGCUGGCGCUAUCUGACUGAACAACCCGGUCGGGGGUUUACCUUUCAUGUAUCCACCCGCUGUUGCCACAGAUUUCAAGUAAUUACUGCAGUGCUGCCCGGACAUGCCAAAUUCCCAGCUACUUUCCCUCAAGCAGGCAGGUAUAGCCACCUAGUCACAUUGCAUCUUGCCUAGGCCCUUCAGUAGGGCUAUUCAUUAGCAAAAAGAAGUUUUCUCUGUUCCCAAGAACAAAGAAUGCUCCUCAGCCCUUGUGUUUCAGUAGGCAAGCCUUCGCUCUCCACAGGUAGGGAUGGUCUUGCCCUUAGGUGCACUUGACUUGCGCAGUCUUCAGGCUAGCUCUUCCUCUAUGCCAAUAACUCAACUAUGGUGUCUAAUUCAUCAGCUGUGUUUCCAGAUUUUCUAAGGGGAGCUUAGGAAAAACUAACACAUCAUUUCCAUUUUGUUCACAAGAACCUGCAAAUGAUCUCAAAUGAGUCACUAACAGAGCAAAUGUGGCACAUUUUGUAUCCAGAGGCUAACUCAAGUUUAACAGAGAUCACCUCAGAUGCAGGAAACAAAGAAGCCACAUUGAGAUUGGACAUCGGAGUGUGCCUCCAGUCAGGGGAAGUCAGGAUACAUGACAACACAAGAGCAAAGUACCAGCACUGCUUGUAUUACGACAAGGUUUCUUGAAGUCUUCAAGAAAACUUCUGUCGCAGUGACCAUUUGCAGAUUGAAUCCCAUACUUUCAGGAAACAAAACCAAAACUAAAGGUGAGACCAAGAAGGUGAAGGCUUAAAUUCAACUUCCAGUUGACAGAAGGAUAAGGAACUGUCUCGAGAUUUAUUUCUAAAUGUUACCCUUAAUUGCUGCAUGAUUAAAACCAUGUUAAAAAACAUUUUCUAUAAAGUCAGCUGUUUACAAUGAGGAAUUGUCAGGUAGGACUCAAAUGGGCAGGUCGAUGUUCUCAAAGGUCUCUCCCUCCAGAAGGUAGUUGCUAAAUAUAGUGUCAGCUUUAAACAGUGGGUCUGGCCUAAGGAAAGAGAUCCUCUGAGCUUGAGAGGAGCGUGAGCUAAACUGUUCGGAAGACUCAGCAACAAUUUUUAAAGAAUUCUUUUCACAAAUGGCAAUUGGUGGUAGGUGUAAACACUGAUCACGGAACAUUAGGUGAAGUGGAUGCGCUUUCUAUAUGUAAAAUCAUUUUGAUUUUAGGCAAAUGAUUUAUGCACCAAGGAUUACAACUAAUGCACACCUUACAAGGACACCCGUAUAUAAAUCGCUUGAUAAUCCGCAGGAUGCAAUUGGCUAUUCAUUCUGUGAAUAGAACGUAAUGGAAAAGCAUGGAAGCUUAUUUUAUGGGAUCUGCAGGUAAUUUCUGCUACAUGGGUACUUUGCUAUUCCAUAUUUUCCCCCUGGGGCAAUUCAAAUCAUCGUGCUAAAAUUAUAAAUUUCAAGUUAAACGGUAAUAUUUAAAACAAUGUAGAAAUGUGAGAUACAAGUGGAAUAAGUUUUAUGGAAGAGAAAUAUGCUUCUUAUUGGAUAUGCCUAGCAAUGUAAGCCUCUCAAGGCUCCUAGACAUUAUUUUCUCAAAGUAAAUUAGGAACUCCUGGCAUGACUAUAAAACUUUUCAUGUUCUGGAAUGUGCCCUGUUCUUGUUGAGAACCCAAAACCUAAUUUCACACUAAUUAAAUGCAAGACAAACACAUGUAGAUAUAAUUCUGUUUGUCUUAAAGGAUAACAUUUCCUUUUUACCAUGUGUACAUGUGUAUAUAAAUUUUAAAUUUAAAAACCUUUUCCUAAACCUAUUAAGCCCAUGGCUCAUUUUCAGGCAUGACUAAUAGGACUUUCUUAAAAUCAUAGAUUUUUAAACUUUAAACCCUAAUUAAACUGGCAUCCGGAUUUUGCAAAUAAAUUAAUAAAUACAAAAGUUAAAGUGCA
This 2268-nucleotide long non-coding RNA is filed under the name Vulpes vulpes (red fox). Its description in RNAcentral is "lncRNA (ENSVVUG00000026334.1)". The record is from RNAcentral. Lineage: Eukaryota; Metazoa; Chordata; Mammalia; Carnivora; Canidae.